RNAcentral lists this ribosomal RNA (440 nucleotides) under uncultured bacterium. Its description in RNAcentral is "partial 16S ribosomal RNA". It matches the Rfam family "Bacterial small subunit ribosomal RNA", at positions 338 to 795 of the family's 1533-position model. The record is from RNAcentral.
CCUACGGGGGGCAGCAGUGGGGAAUAUUGGACAAUGGGGGGAACCCUGAUCCAGCGACGCCGCGUGAGUGAAGAAGUAUUUCGGUAUGUAAAGCUCUAUCAGCAGGGAAGAAAAUGACGGUACCUGACUAAGAAGCCCCGGCUAACUACGUGCCAGCAGCCGCGGUAAUACGUAGGGGGCAAGCGUUAUCCGGAUUUACUGGGGGUAAAGGGAGCGUAUGCGGCAGCGCAAGUCUGGAGGGAAAUGCCGGGGCCGAAACCCGGAACUGCUCUGGAAACUGUGAAGCUGGAGUGGAGGAGAGGUAAGCGGAAUGCCUGGUGUAGCGGUGAAAUGCGUAGAUAUCAGGAGGAACACCGGCGGCGAAGGCGGCUUACUGGACUGUAACUGACGUUGAGGCUCGAAAGCGUGGGGAGCAAACAGGAUUAGAUACCCGUGUAGUC